Priapulus caudatus is the source of this 432-nucleotide long non-coding RNA. RefSeq lists it as uncharacterized. The record is from RefSeq and is a predicted model, not a curated record. NCBI's taxonomy places the organism in Eukaryota, Metazoa, Priapulida, Priapulimorpha, Priapulimorphida, Priapulidae. The transcript is spliced from 3 exons.
CAGGAGAAUUCCGAUGAAGACUACGAUUACGUCAUAGUGGGAGCGGGUAGUGCAGGCUGCGUAUUGGCUGCUCGCCUCUCUGACGUCAGCAGCAACAAGGUGCUUCUACUGGAGGCAGGAGGCGACCCGUCUGCAAAGAGGAACGCUGCAAAACCUGCCAUGCAUAUGCUGCUGAGAAACACGAAACAUGACUGGAACUUCAGGACUGUGCCACAGAAGAAAUCAUGUCGAGGUCUUAAUGAGAAGAGAAGCCUGUGGCCAAGAGGACGAAUGCUUGGAGGGUCAGGUGGUCUAAACGUUAUGCAGUAUGUACGAGGCAACAAGGGAGACUUUGAUCUGUGGGAAAAGAUGGGCGCACGGGGAUGGAGUUAUAAAGACGUUUUGCUGUACUUUAAAAAAUUUGAAGACAACCAGAAUGAGGAAUAUGUGAAG